CAGUAGCCGCGGGAAAACGAAGGGGGCUAGCGUUGUUCGGAUUUACUGGGCGUAAAGCGCACGUAGGCGGACUUUUAAGUCAGGGGUGAAAUCCCGGGGCUCAACCCCGGAACUGCCUUUGAUACUGGAAGUCUUGAGUAUGGUAGAGGUGAGUGGAAUUCCGAGUGUAGAGGUGAAAUUCGUAGAUAUUCGGAGGAACACCAGUGGCGAAGGCGGCUCACUGGACCAUUACUGACGCUGAGGUGCGAAAGCGUGGGGAGCAAACAGGAUUAGAUACCCCCGUAGUCCCUGUCUCUUAUAC
RNAcentral lists this ribosomal RNA (301 nucleotides) under uncultured bacterium. Its description in RNAcentral is "partial 16S ribosomal RNA". It matches the Rfam family "Bacterial small subunit ribosomal RNA", at positions 509 to 807 of the family's 1533-position model. The record is from RNAcentral.